RNAcentral lists this non-coding RNA (45 nucleotides) under Schistosoma margrebowiei. Lineage: Eukaryota; Metazoa; Platyhelminthes; Trematoda; Strigeidida; Schistosomatidae. The record is from RNAcentral.
AUCCGACUGACGAGUCCAAAAUAGAACGAAAUGCGCGUUCUGGAU